RNAcentral lists this transfer RNA (71 nucleotides) under Nisia fuliginosa. RNAcentral's name for it is "tRNA-Ala". The record is from RNAcentral. Lineage: Eukaryota; Metazoa; Arthropoda; Insecta; Hemiptera; Meenoplidae.
GGGAAUGUAGUUAAUAUAUAACAUAAUAUUUGCAAAAUUAAAUUGUUUAAUUUUUUAUUAAACCAAUCUCA